UACGGGGGGGGCAAGCGUUGUUCGGAAUUACUGGGCGUAAAGGGUUCGUAGGUGGCUCGCUAAGUCAGACGUGAAAUCCCUCAGCUUAACUGGGGAACUGCGUCUGAGACUGGCGAGCUCGAGUGCAGGAGAGGAACGCGGAAUUCCAGGUGUAGCAGUGAAAUGCGUAGAUAUCAGGAGGAACACCGAUGGCGAAGGCAGGUCUCUGGGCUGACACUGACGCUCAUGCACGAAAGCGUGGGGAGCAAACAGG
This 253-nucleotide ribosomal RNA is filed under the name uncultured bacterium. RNAcentral's name for it is "partial 16S ribosomal RNA". It matches the Rfam family "Bacterial small subunit ribosomal RNA", at positions 524 to 776 of the family's 1533-position model. The record is from RNAcentral.